This 433-nucleotide ribosomal RNA is filed under the name uncultured bacterium. RNAcentral's name for it is "bacterial SSU rRNA". It matches the Rfam family "Bacterial small subunit ribosomal RNA", at positions 29 to 507 of the family's 1533-position model. The record is from RNAcentral.
AACGAACGCUGGCGGCAUGCCUAACACAUGCAAGUCGAACGAGACCUUCGGGUCUAGUGGCGCACGGGUGCGUAACGCGUGGGGAUCUGCCCUUUGCUUCGGAAUAACAGUUAGAAAUGACUGCUAAUACCGGAUGAUGUCGUAAGACCAAAGAUUUAUCGGCAAAGGAUGAACCCGCGUAGGAUUAGCUAGUUGGUGGGGUAAAGGCCUACCAAGGCGACGAUCCUUAGCUGGUCUGAGAGGAUGAUCAGCCACACUGGGACUGAGACACGGCCCAGACUCCUACGGGAGGCAGCAGUGGGGAAUAUUGGACAAUGGGCGAAAGCCUGAUCCAGCAAUGCCGCGUGAGUGAUGAAGGCCUUAGGGUUGUAAAGCUCUUUUACCCGGGAUGAUAAUGACAGUACCGGGAGAAUAAGCUCCGGCUAACUCCGUG